RNAcentral lists this ribosomal RNA (462 nucleotides) under uncultured bacterium. RNAcentral's name for it is "bacterial SSU rRNA". It matches the Rfam family "Bacterial small subunit ribosomal RNA", at positions 28 to 507 of the family's 1533-position model. The record is from RNAcentral.
GAUGAACGCUGGCGGCGUGCCUAACACAUGCAAGUCGAACGGAGUUGUUCCUUCGGGGACAACUUAGUGGCGAACGGGUGAGUAACGCGUGAGAAACCUGCCUUUCAGUGGGGGACAACAGUUGGAAACGACUGCUAAUACCGCAUAAUGUAUCGAUGGGGCAUCCCAAUGAUACCAAAGAUUUAUUGCUGAAAGAUGGUCUCGCGUCUGAUUAGCUAGUUGGUGAGGUAACGGCUCACCAAGGCGACGAUCAGUAGCCGGUCUGAGAGGAUGAACGGCCACAUUGGGACUGAGAUACGGCCCAGACUCCUACGGGAGGCAGCAGUGGGGAAUAUUGGGCAAUGGGGGAAACCCUGACCCAGCAACGCCGCGUGAAGGAAGAAGGCCUUCGGGUUGUAAACUUCUUUUACCAGGGACGAAGAACGUGACGGUACCUGGAGAAAAGCAACGGCUAACUACGUG